UACAGAGGUGGCAAGCGUUGUUCGGAAUUACUGGGCGUAAAGGGCGCGUAGGCGGUUCGUUAAGUCCUGUGUGAAAUCCCCCGGCUCAACUGGGGAACUGCACAGGAAACUAGCGGGCUUGAGUUCGGGAGAGGGAAGCGGAAUUCCGGGUGUAGCGGUGAAAUGCGUAGAUAUCCGGAGGAACACCGGUGGCGAAGGCGACCAUCUGGACGGAUACUGACGCUGAGACGCGAAAGCGUGGGUAGCAAACAGG
RNAcentral lists this ribosomal RNA (253 nucleotides) under uncultured bacterium. Its description in RNAcentral is "partial 16S ribosomal RNA". It matches the Rfam family "Bacterial small subunit ribosomal RNA", at positions 524 to 776 of the family's 1533-position model. The record is from RNAcentral.